AUAAUUUUAUUUAAAUUAAGUAGUUUAAUAAAAUAAAAUUUUACAUAUAUAAUUUUUUGUAAAUAUAUAUAUUUUAAAUAAAUUAUAUUAUAUAAAUAAAUAAAAAAUAGUAGUAAUUAAUUUUAUUAUUUUAAUUUAAGUUAAAAUGUAGUUAUUAUUUUAUAUUAAUGAUUAAAUUUGUGCCAGCAAUCGCGGUUAUACAAAUAUUAUAAUUAAAUUUUUUUAAUUAAAGUUAAAAUAUAAAUUUAAUUUUUAAAAUAAAGAUAAAUUUUUAAGUGAAAUUUAAAAUUUUAUCAAUAUUUUUAAAAUAAGAUAAUUUUGAAGCUUAAAAAAUUUAAAUAAAAACUAGGAUUAGAUACCCUAUUAUUUAAAAAGUAAUAAAAAAUAAAAAUUAAGGUAGUAAAAAUUAAAUUUUUAAAACUUAAAAAAUUUGGCGGUAUUUUAUUCUGUUUAGAGGAAUUUGUUCUAUAAUCGAUAAUCCACGAAUAUUUUACUUUUUUUUGUUUUCAGUUUAUAUAUCGUUGUUAUCAAAAUAUUUUAAAAGAAUAAAAAAUUUUUAAAAUUUUAUAUUAAAAUUUAUGUCAAAUCAAGGUAUAAUUAAUGAAAAAGAAGAAAUGAAUUACAAUAAUUAUUAUUUAUAAAUGAAUAAAAAUUUAAAAUUAGUUAUUUGAAAGUGGAUUUAAAAGUAAAUUAAUUAAUAAAAAUUAAUUGAUUAAAGUUUUAAAAUAUGCACAUAUCGCCCGUCGCUUUCAUUAUUUUAAAAUGAGAUAAGUCGUAACAUAGUAGAUGUAUUGGAAAAUGUAUCUAGAAAUA
This 813-nucleotide non-coding RNA is filed under the name Polypedilum heberti. The record is from RNAcentral. Lineage: Eukaryota; Metazoa; Arthropoda; Insecta; Diptera; Chironomidae.